Molecule: long non-coding RNA, 542 nt
Organism: Daktulosphaira vitifoliae (grape phylloxera)
Lineage: Eukaryota; Metazoa; Arthropoda; Insecta; Hemiptera; Phylloxeridae
Exons: 3
Source: RefSeq, a predicted model, not a curated record
UCUAAAUAUUUUUGUUAAGCUAAAUUGUUUACCUUUCUAAUACGAUUUAUUGACUUGUUUAUGUCUUGAGAUAGUACAUCCUAGUAUUUUCCUAGACGAAUUUAUGUGAAAAAAAAAUUACGGCUUCAAGAUUAUAUCUAUAUUUAAUAUUUUUUAAAUGUGGAUGGAAUAGAAUCUAAAAAACGCCUGUGAUUAUUUAGUUGUAGUCUGUGUAGUGAAACAGGACUUAAAGAACAUUUUACAGACAUCUUAUAAAACUAGAUGUUCUGAACGACAACUAAACUUUGAAUAAAAUACAAACCACUCAAUCAACUACAGUAGUAGAGACGUGCAUGUAAUGAUGCUAAACCUUAACCGGCCCCUUCAUACAAUCUUUCCGGGGGCGAGAAUUUCACUUUUUAAGGUCGCGACCUUAAUGAUCUCUACCAUAGGUGACUGGAUUCACAUGGAGUAUUUACUUCCGGAGAUUGUAGACCCUCAGUUCCAACCAUUAUAAGUCGCUCAAGUCGGAAAUAAAUGAGCUAAAAAAUAUAUAUAGAAAU